Molecule: ribosomal RNA, 205 nt
Filed under: uncultured bacterium
Lineage: Bacteria
Description: partial 16S ribosomal RNA
Rfam family: Bacterial small subunit ribosomal RNA
Source: RNAcentral
AGCGCAGGCGGAUAGGUAAGUCUGAAGUGGAAUCCCGGGGCUCAACCUCGGAAGGCCUUCGGAUACUGCCUGUCUUGAGUUCGUGAGAGGAAAGCGGAAUUCAGGGUGUAGCGGUGAAAUGCUUAGAUAUCCUGAGGAACACCAAUGGCGAAAGCAGCUUUCUGGCGCGAAACUGACGCUGAGGCUCGAAAGCGUGGUAGCAACG